Zingiber officinale is the source of this 2494-nucleotide long non-coding RNA. RefSeq lists it as uncharacterized. The transcript has 6 exons. The record is from RefSeq and is a predicted model, not a curated record. NCBI's taxonomy places the organism in Eukaryota, Viridiplantae, Streptophyta, Magnoliopsida, Zingiberales, Zingiberaceae.
AUCUCCCGAACCCCUAUCACCCGAAACUCCCCUCUCCCUCCAACUUUGUGACGGGAUCUCCUCUAUGGUUCGCAGUUCGCACGGAUCUGGGAAGAUCACUAUCGCUCGGCCCUCUCCUCAACUCUCCUCGCCUCUCUAUACGCCUUCUUCGUCACCCUCUCUGUCAUUUCCUCUGGCGUAUGAGCUUCGUGAGGCUAUCGACGGCGCCGGCCGUGCCUGAUCCCAUGGCAGUCGCACUGUACUCUUUGUCGAUGAGAUCCACCGGUUCUCCAAGUUCCACGACGCCAUCGCAGCCUCGAAAGCUCGCGUCCUCGCGAGCUCUGCAGUUCACGGGAUCGCGAGUGUUGCUGCCUGCCGCUUGUAGCCUCGUGUGCGCUGUUGCCUGCCGCUCGCGAGUGUUGCUGCUUGCUGCUAGCGAUGUACAGAUUUCUAUGGCAGCUUUCAUUCUAACUUUAGGAUCCAUGACUUGCACUCUAAAUUGACUCAUGGGCUUUCUUAAUGUAGUUGAAUUGAGAGCAUCAAAAUAUUAAUCAUCAAACAUGGAUCUACAAUGACAGUAUAUGAAAGCUGGACAAAAAAAUGAGUCAAAAAAUAUAGCAGAUCCAAGGAUCUACAAAAGCUGGACAUACGAAAGUUGGACAUGGAUCUACUUCUGGCUCUACUGAAGUAGUGAUCAAUCCUCUUAUUAAAAUGAACAAGAAAACAUAUAGCAGAUCCAAGGUGUCCAAGAGCAGUAAGAUGAAGCUAAGUACUUUUGUUGCCCACAACUGUAAAUUUAGUAAAAACUUAUUUUUUUUAAUUUUCUGAUUAUGAUGGUGGCAUGCAGCAUGAAUUAUUUGAUAUUAUGAAAUGAGUUCAUGAACCACAAUUGCUUUAGCAAUUACACCUACUAAAGCAUUUAGUAUCCAUAAAUUCACAUCUCCUCUUUUAUCCUCCAUAUAAGAGUGUUCAAUAGUGAUGUGGAUGCAGAGGAAUCAUUCCUGUAAGGGUAUGAUUAUAUAUGAAAAUCUGGUUAGACCAUGGGAUUAACAAGAGCCAAGAGAUGUUUAUGGAAGUUGCAUUAUUUUAUUAGGCUGUUCUGGCUGUUAGGCAAAUUUAUGCAGUUCAAUAAUGCUAUAGUUGUUGAUACAUUCAUUGGACUUGAAAUUUUAUACAACUCAUCGUUUAUCAAAUUAAGAUGGACUCAGCCAUUGUCAAGUUUUAUACAAUAAAUCUAGUCAUUGUCAAGUGACUCAGCCAUACCCCAUCAAGUUUUUCAAUUGGACCUAAAUCCUAAUCCCCUGCUGAACUAGUCCAUAAGUCCUAUUGAUAUCAUAUUUUUGUUUAAAUUCAAUUAAAAAAAUACUUAUUUAUAGAUGAAUUUUUCAAAGUAGACUUUUGGAAUUCUUUAGUUUACUUCCAUGUACUAAACUGGAACAAAUUAACUCCAGGGGUACUAUUUCGCAUGAGUUAGCUUAACAUUUUGCUGCAAUGUUUGAGUAGCAAUCUCCAUGUCUUAUAAAAUGGUCAAUGAAAAUGAUAGAGAAUCUUGAAUUAGUAUUCUGUAUCUAAUUUUCCAUUUACCACUAAUCAUGAAAAUAAUCUUGCUAAUCAUGCAAAAAUUAGUGCUAUAGUCAUGAUGAUAUCAUAUUUUGGUCACCAUCCAACAUAUAUGUGAUUCUUGAUUCUCUUGUUGGUAGUUGCCGAUAUGAUAGCUCUUUAGGUGAUUGAUUUAUCUCACUUUCAUAAAAAAAAGUCAAGUUUUCUUUAUCACUGGGAAUUCUUUUUCAUCAUCAUCUAACUUCACCAUCAAGGCUCUUUACCAAACGGUUUAUCAAUCUACUUAAACAUGCACAAGAUGACAUUCUUGACUUGAAUAAAGCUGCAGAAACACUUGAGGUGAAGUAUAUGUUGUUUGCAUAAUUGUUCUUCUUUUAUACAUAAUUAGAAUUUUACAUGUAGGUGCAAAAGAGGCAGAUUUAUGGCAUCACUAAUGUGCUUGAAGGGAUAGGAUUUAUGCCAAUGCUGCAGAAGUUGAAAACCUAGUCUCGCAAGAAUGCCAGUUGGAUGAGUGCAUCAGUGUGCAGAAAUGUUCUAGUUUUAAAGCAGAAUGCAAGAAAGUAUGAGUGUGUUCACUGAAGAAGAAAGUAAUCAAAAGCCGCUUUACUUGACCAAAGAUGACAUCAAAAGCAACAACUAUAUGUUAUGUGGCACUGCAUCCGAACCUCAGGAGUGUGACUGAGAAGUACUUCAACGAAGAACUAUCAAGAAAGCUUUAAGCGAGAAGAUGGUUAAAGUCAAUGAUUAAAGAACAUUUAAGUCAAGAGGAUAAGUAACAUUUAUCAAUAUCCUUUAAGUUCAUGCAAUAAGAUGUAGUCGAUAGAAGUAGGUUUGAGUGCCUUCUAAUUAAAAUUUCUUUGUAUGCAAGUAAUUAUGUUUAUUAUAGAAGUGUAAGAAUGAUAAUUUGUAUAUUUAUCUUGGUUGUUUAUUUAAUAAUAUGUUGUUGAUUGAAGUA